Molecule: small nucleolar RNA, 92 nt
Filed under: Zostera marina
Lineage: Eukaryota; Viridiplantae; Streptophyta; Magnoliopsida; Alismatales; Zosteraceae
Description: Small nucleolar RNA R64/Z200 family
Rfam family: Small nucleolar RNA R64/Z200 family
About the family: This family of plant small nucleolar RNAs belong to the C/D class of snoRNA which contain the C (UGAUGA) and D (CUGA) box motifs.
Source: Rfam by way of RNAcentral
UUUUUUCUAUGAUGAUUAAUUGGAAUUUACACAUGUCAGACUUCGGAGAUGCGUGCAUCAAUGAGAAGAUAAACCAUUUAUCUGAGAUUUUG